GGAGGAGGAGGUAGUGGAGACAGAGGGAGGAGGAGGUAGUAGAGACAGAGGGAGGAGGAGGUGGUGGAGACAGAGGGAGGAGGAGGUGGUGGAGACAGAGGGAGGAGGAGGUGGUGGAGACAGAGGGAGGAGGAGGUAGUGGAGACAGAGGGAGUAGGAAGUGGAGACAGAGGGAGGAGGGAGUGGAGACAGAAGAGGAGGGAGUGGAGACAGAGGGAGGAGGAGGUAGUGGAGACAGUGGGAGGAGGUAGUGGAGACAGAGGCAGGUGCGAGUGGAGACAGAGGGAGGAGGAGGUAGUGGAGACAGUGGGAGGAGGAGG
This is a long non-coding RNA of Oncorhynchus tshawytscha (Chinook salmon), 320 nucleotides long. NCBI's taxonomy places the organism in Eukaryota, Metazoa, Chordata, Actinopteri, Salmoniformes, Salmonidae. The record is from Ensembl.